RNAcentral lists this ribosomal RNA (422 nucleotides) under uncultured bacterium. RNAcentral describes it as "partial 16S ribosomal RNA". It matches the Rfam family "Bacterial small subunit ribosomal RNA", at positions 360 to 774 of the family's 1533-position model. The record is from RNAcentral.
AAUCUUCCGCAAUGGACGCAAGGCUGACGGAGCAACGCCGCGUGAGUGAUGAAGGUUUUCGGAUCAUAAAACACUGUUGAUAGGGACAAAAACGUAUCGGAGACACUGCCGGUAUCCUGACGGUACCUGACGAGACAGCCACGGCUAACCACGUGUCAGCAUCCGCGGUAAUACGUAGGUGGCAAGCAUUGUCCGGAUUUAUUGGGCGUAAAGCGCGCGCAGGCGGUCUUUUAAAUCUGAUGUGAAAUCUUGCAGCUUAACUGUAAGCGGUCAUUGGAAACUGGGAGACUUGAGUGCAGAAGAGGAGAGUGGAAUUCCAUGUGUAGCGGUGAAAUGCGUAGAGAUAUGGAGGAACACCAGUGGCGAAGACGACUCUCUGGUCUGUAACUGACGCUGAGGCGCGAAAGCGUGGGGAUCAAACA